UACGUAGGGUGCGAGCGUUGUCCGGAAUUAUUGGGCGUAAAGAGCUCGUAGGCGGUCUGUCGCGUCGAUCGUGAAAACUUGGGGCUUAACCCUGAGCUUGCGGUCGAUACGGCAUGACUGGAGUUCGGCAGGGAGACUGAAUUCCUGGUGUAGCGGUGAAAUGCGCAGAUAUCAGGAGGAACACCGGUGGCGAAGGCGGCCACUGGGACGUCGAUACUGACGCUGAGGUACGAAAGCGUGGGGGGAGCAAACAGG
RNAcentral lists this ribosomal RNA (255 nucleotides) under uncultured bacterium. RNAcentral's name for it is "partial 16S ribosomal RNA". It matches the Rfam family "Bacterial small subunit ribosomal RNA", at positions 524 to 776 of the family's 1533-position model. The record is from RNAcentral.